Molecule: ribosomal RNA, 253 nt
Filed under: uncultured bacterium
Lineage: Bacteria
Description: partial 16S ribosomal RNA
Rfam family: Bacterial small subunit ribosomal RNA
Source: RNAcentral
UACGGAGGGUGCAAGCGUUGUCCGGAUUUAUUGGGUUUAAAGGGUGCGUAGGUGGCCCGUUAAGUCCGGGGUGAAAGCCCACUGCUCAACAGUGGAACUGCCCUGGAUACUGGCGAGCUUGAGUCCAGACGAGGUUGGCGGAAUGGAAGCUGUAGCGGUGAAAUGCAUAGAUAGCUUCCAGAACCCCGAUUGCGUAGGCAGCUGACUAGGCUGGUACUGACACUGAGGCACGAAAGCAUGGGGAGCGAACAGG